GAUGAACGCUGGCGGCGUGCCUAAUACAUGCAAGUCGAGCGAACGGACGAGAAGCUUGCCUUUCUGAUGUUAGCGGCGGACGGGUGAGUAACACGUGGAUAACCUACCUAUAAGACUGGGAUAACUUCGGGAAACCGGAGCUAAUACCGGAUAAUAUUUUGAACCGCAUGGUUCAUAAGUGAAAGACGGUCUUGCUGUCACUUAUAGAUGGAUCCGCGCUGCAUUAGCUAGUUGGUAAGGUAACGGCUUACCAAGGCAACGAUGCAUAGCCGACCUGAGAGGGUGAUCGGCCACACUGGAACUGAGACACGGUCCAGACUCCUACGGGAGGCAGCAGUAGGGAAUCUUCCGCAAUGGGCGAAAGCCUGACGGAGCAACGCCGCGUGAGUGAUGAAGGUCUUCGGAUCGUAAAACUCUGUUAUUAGGGAAGAACAUAUGUGUAAGUAACUGUGCACAUCUUGACGGUACCUAAUCAGAAAGCCACGGCUAACUACGUG
Molecule: ribosomal RNA, 497 nt
Filed under: uncultured bacterium
Lineage: Bacteria
Description: partial 16S ribosomal RNA
Rfam family: Bacterial small subunit ribosomal RNA
Source: RNAcentral